Molecule: ribosomal RNA, 1407 nt
Filed under: metagenome
Description: bacterial SSU rRNA
Rfam family: Bacterial small subunit ribosomal RNA
Source: RNAcentral
AGAGUUUGAUCCUGGCUCAGGAUGAACGCUAGCGACAGGCCUAACACAUGCAAGUCGAGGGGUAACAUGAGUGCUUGCACUUGAUGACGACCGGCGCACGGGUGCGUAACGCGUAUGCAACUUACCUUGUACUGGGGAAUAGCCCGUGGAAACGCGGAUUAAUGUCCCAUAACACUACAAUUUCGCAUGGAAAAGUGGUUAAAGUUCCGACGGUACAAGAUGGGCAUGCGUGACAUUAGCUAGUUGGUGAGGUAAUGGCUCACCAAGGCGACGAUGUCUAGGGGUUCUGAGAGGAAGGUCCCCCACACUGGUACUGAGACACGGACCAGACUCCUACGGGAGGCAGCAGUGAGGAAUAUUGGUCAAUGGGCGCAAGCCUGAACCAGCCAUGUCGCGUGCAGGAAGACUGCCCUACGGGUUGUAAACUGCUUUUGUAUGGGAAGAAACGUUGGUACGUGUACCAAUUUGCCGGUACCAUACGAAUAAGGAUCGGCUAACUCCGUGCCAGCAGCCGCGGUAAUACGGAGGAUCCAAGCGUUAUCCGGAUUUAUUGGGUUUAAAGGGUGCGUAGGCGGUAGAAUAAGUCAGUGGUGAAAUCCUGCAGCUUAACUGUAGAACUGCCAUUGAUACUGUUUUACUUGAGUGUAAUUGAGGUAGGCGGAAUGUGUUGUGUAGCGGUGAAAUGCAUAGAUAUAACACAGAACACCGAUUGCGAAGGCAGCUUACUAAGUUAUAACUGACGCUGAUGCACGAAAGCGUGGGUAGCGAACAGGACUAGAUACCCUGGUAGUCCACGCCGUAAACGAUGAUUACUCGCUGUAGGCAAUACACCGUCUGUGGCUGAGCGAAAGCAUUAAGUAAUCCACCUGGGGAGUACGUUGGCAACAAUGAAACUCAAAGGAAUUGACGGGGGCCCGCACAAGCGGAGGAACAUGUGGUUUAAUUCGAUGAUACGCGAGGAACCUUACCUGGACUUAAAUGUAGAUUGACGUAUCCAGAGAUGGAUAUUUCUUCGGACAAUUUACAAGGUGCUGCAUGGUUGUCGUCAGCUCGUGCCGUGAGGUGUCGGGUUAAGUCCCAUAACGAGCGCAACCCCUGUUGUUAGUUACCAGCACAUCAUGGUGGGGACUCUAACAAGACUGCCGGUGUAAACCGCGAGGAAGGUGGGGAUGACGUCAAAUCAGCACGGCCCUUACGUCCAGGGCUACACACGUGUUACAAUGGCCGGUACAGAGGGCAGCUACUUGGUGACAAGAUGCGAAUCUCAAAAACCGGUCUCAGUUCGGAUCGAAGUCUGCAACCCGACUUCGUGAAGCUGGAUUCGCUAGUAAUCGCAUAUCAGCCAUGAUGCGGUGAAUACGUUCCCGGGCCUUGUACACACCGCCCGUCAAACCAUGGAAGUCGAGG